AAUAAUAAUAAUAUUAAUAAUAAUAAUAUAAAGGGUUGCAAGGCCCAGUGAAAGUCUAGAUCUUCAUGUUAUAAUUCAAGCAUGAUCCAGUCAUUUUCACUAUUUUUCAUCUCUGUAUCAGAACCUUAUCACCUUUAUCCUAUUGAUUAGAUGAUUCCUUAAGUCUAAGCAUGAGACCUGGAGAAAAUGUUCGCUUUUGAUUUAUAAUUUAACCCCUUAAGGACCAACCCAAAUAAACCUGUACACC
Molecule: long non-coding RNA, 247 nt
Organism: Hyla sarda
Lineage: Eukaryota; Metazoa; Chordata; Amphibia; Anura; Hylidae
Exons: 3
Source: RefSeq, a predicted model, not a curated record